This 929-nucleotide ribosomal RNA is filed under the name uncultured bacterium. Its description in RNAcentral is "bacterial SSU rRNA". It matches the Rfam family "Bacterial small subunit ribosomal RNA", at positions 8 to 917 of the family's 1533-position model. The record is from RNAcentral.
AGAGUUUGAUCCUGGCUCAGGACGAACGUUGGCGGCGUGGAUGAGGCAUGCAAGUCGAACGCGAAAGCCGCAAGGUGAGUAGCGUGGCGGACGGGCGAGUAACACGUAAUCAAGCUACCUGCGAGACGGGGAUAACCUCGGGAAACCGAGGCUAAGACCCGAUGGCCUACCGGGGACGCAUGUUCCUGGUAGUAAAUGGGCGGGACCUUUCGGGGUCGCCUGCUCGCAGAGGUGAUUGCGGCCCAUCAGCUAGUUGGUAGGGUAAUGGCCUACCAAGGCAACGACGGGUAGCCGGCCUUAGAGGGUGGUCGGCCGCACUGGGACUGAGAUACUGCCCAGACUCCUACGGGAGGCUGCAGUCGAGAAUCUUCCGCAAUGGGCGAAAGCCUGACGGAGCGACGCCGCGUGGAGGACGAAGGCCUUCGGGUUGUAAACUCCUGUCACGAGUUAAGAAGGUGGCACUACGAACAGUGGUGUCAUUUGACGUAAGCUCGAGAGGAAGCACUGGCUAACUCUGUGCCAGCAGCCGCGGUAAUACAGAGAGUGCAAACGUUGUUCGGAAUUACUGGGCUUAAAGCGCACGUAGGUGGCAUCGUAAGUGUCAGGUGAAAUCCCACGGCUCACCCGUGGAACUGCCUGGCAUACUGCGAUGCUCGAGUGUGGUAGGGGAGAGCGGAACUCUUGGUGGAGCGGUGAAAUGCGUAGAUAUCAAGAGGAACACCGGUGGCGAAGGCGGCUCUCUGGUCCACAACUGACACUGAGGUGCGAAAGCUAGGGGAGCAAACGGGAUUAGAUACCCCGGUAGUCCUAGCUGUAAACGAUGGGCACUAGCUUGGGGUCUCCCUGUGUGAUCCCAGGUGAAGUAAAAAUGAUAAGUGCCCCGCCUGGGGAGUAUGGUCGCAAGGCUGAAACUCAAAGGAAUUGACGGG